RNAcentral lists this ribosomal RNA (478 nucleotides) under uncultured archaeon. RNAcentral's name for it is "bacterial SSU rRNA". It matches the Rfam family "Archaeal small subunit ribosomal RNA", at positions 380 to 858 of the family's 1478-position model. The record is from RNAcentral.
ACCGAGUGCCAGCAUCAUAUGCUGGCUGUCCAGGUGUGUAAAAUACACCUGUUAGCAAGGGCCGGGCAAGACCGGUGCCAGCCGCCGCGGUAACACCGGCGGCCCGAGUGGUGAUCGUGAUUAUUGGGUCUAAAGGGUCCGUAGCCGGUUUGGUCAGUCCUCCGGGAAAUCUGACGGCUUAACCGUUAGGCUUUCGGGGGAUACUGCCAGGCUUGGAACCGGGAGAGGUAAGAGGUACUACAGGGGUAGGAGUGAAAUCUUGUAAUCCCUGUGGGACCACCUGUGGCGAAGGCGUCUUACCAGAACGGGUUCGACGGUGAGGGACGAAAGCUGGGGGCACGAACCGGAUUAGAUACCCGGGUAGUCCCAGCCGUAAACGAUGCUCGCUAGGUGUCAGGCAUGGCGCGACCGUGUCUGGUGCCGCAGGGAAGCCGUGAAGCGAGCCACCUGGGAAGUACGGCCGCAAGGCUGAAACUUA